GAAGCAUGAUCGUAAGGACAUGUGGAGCGCUUAGAAGUGAGAAUGCCGGUGUGAGUAGCGAAAGACGGGUGAGAAUCCCGUCCACCGAUUGACUAAGGUUUCCAGAGGAAGGCUCGUCCGCUCUGGGUUAGUCGGGUCCUAAGCUGAGGCCGACAGGCGUAGGCGAUGGAUAACAGGUUGAUAUUCCUGUACCACCUAUAAUCGUUUUAAUCGAUGGGGGGACGCAGUAGGAUAGGCGAAGCGUGCGAUUGGAUUGCACGUCUAAGCAGUAAGGCUGAGUAUUAGGCAAAUCCGGUACUCGUUAAGGCUGAGCUGUGAUGGGGAGAAGACAUUGUGUCUUCGAGUCGUUGAUUUCACACUGCCGAGAAAAGCCUCUAGAUAGAAAAUAGGUGCCCGUACCGCAAACCGACACAGGUAGUCAAGAUGAGAAUUCUAAGGUGAGCGAGCGAACUCUCGUUAAGGAACUCGGCAAAAUGACCCCGUAACUUCGGGAGAAGGGGUGCUCUUUAGGGUUAACGCCCAGAAGAGCCGCAGUGAAUAGGCCCAAGCGACUGUUUAUCAAAAACACAGGUCUCUGCUAAACCGUAAGGUGAUGUAUAGGGGCUGACGCCUGCCCGGUGCUGGAAGGUUAAGAGGAGUGGUUAGCUUCUGCGAAGCUACGAAUCGAAGCCCCAGUAAACGGCGGCCGUAACUAUAACGGUCCUAAGGUAGCGAAAUUCCUUGUCGGGUAAGUUCCGACCCGCACGAAAGGCGUAACGAUUUGGGCACUGUCUCAACGAGAGACUCGGUGAAAUCAUAGUACCUGUGAAGAUGCAGGUUACCCGCGACAGGACGGAAAGACCCCGUGGAGCUUUACUGUAGCCUGAUAUUGAAAUUCGGCACAGCUUGUACAGGAUAGGUAGGAGCCUUUGAAACGUGAGCGCUAGCUUACGUGGAGGCGCUGGUGGGAUACUACCCUAGCUGUGUUGGCUUUCUAACCCGCACCACUUAUCGUGGUGGGAGACAGUGUCAGGCGGGCAGUUUGACUGGGGCGGUCGCCUCCUAAAAGGUAACGGAGGCGCUCAAAGGUUCCCUCAGAAUGGUUGGAAAUCAUUCAUAGAGUGUAAAGGCAUAAGGGAGCUUGACUGCGAGACCUACAAGUCGAGCAGGGUCGAAAGACGGACUUAGUGAUCCGGUGGUUCCGCAUGGAAGGGCCAUCGCUCAACGGAUAAAAGCUACCCCGGGGAUAACAGGCUUAUCUCCCCCAAGAGUUCACAUCGACGGGGAGGUUUGGCACCUCGAUGUCGGCUCAUCGCAUCCUGGGGCUGUAGUCGGUCCCAAGGGUUGGGCUGUUCGCCCAUUAAAGCGGUACGCGAGCUGGGUUCAGAACGUCGUGAGACAGUUCGGUCCCUAUCCGUCGUGGGCGUAGGAAAUUUGAGAGGAGCUGUCCUUAGUACGAGAGGACCGGGAUGGACAUACCUCUGGUGUACCAGUUGUCGUGCCAACGGCAUAGCUGGGUAGCUAUGUGUGGACGGGAUAAGUGCUGAAAGCAUCUAAGCAUGAAGCCCCCCUCAAGAUGAGAUUUCCCAACUUCGGUUAUAAGAUCCCUCAAAGAUGAUGAGGUUAAUAGGUUCGAGGUGGAAGCAUGGUGACAUGUGGAGCUGACGAAUACUAA
This 1654-nucleotide ribosomal RNA is filed under the name Staphylococcus aureus. Its description in RNAcentral is "partial 23S ribosomal RNA". It matches the Rfam family "Bacterial large subunit ribosomal RNA", at positions 1252 to 2904 of the family's 2925-position model. Lineage: Bacteria; Bacillati; Bacillota; Bacilli; Caryophanales; Staphylococcaceae. The record is from RNAcentral.